RNAcentral lists this ribosomal RNA (467 nucleotides) under uncultured bacterium. RNAcentral's name for it is "bacterial SSU rRNA". It matches the Rfam family "Bacterial small subunit ribosomal RNA", at positions 335 to 798 of the family's 1533-position model. The record is from RNAcentral.
ACUCCUACGGGAGGCAGCAGUGGGAAUAUUCACAAUGGGCGCAAGCCUGAUGCAGCCAUGCCGCGUGUAUGAAGAAGGCCUUCGGGUUGUAAAGUACUUCAGCGUGAGGAAGGUGGAGUCGUUAAUANCGGCCUCAUUUGACGUUAGCUGCAGAAGAAGCACCGGCUAACUCCGUGCCAGCAGCCGCGGUAAUACGGAGGGUGCGAGCGUUAAUCGGAAUUACUGGGCGUAAAGCGCAUGCAGGUGGUUUGUUAAGUCAGAUGUGAAAAGCCCGGGGCUCAACCUCGGAAUAGCAUUUGAAACUGGCAGACUAGAGUACUGUAGAGGGGGUAGAAUUUCAGGUGUAGCGGUGAAAUGCGUAGAGAUCUGAAGGAAUACCGGUGGCGAAGGCGGCCCCCUGGACAGAUACUGACACUCAGAUGCGAAAGCGUGGGGAGCAAACAGGAUUAGAUACCCUGGUAGGCUCU